This 469-nucleotide ribosomal RNA is filed under the name uncultured bacterium. RNAcentral describes it as "partial 16S ribosomal RNA". It matches the Rfam family "Bacterial small subunit ribosomal RNA", at positions 28 to 507 of the family's 1533-position model. The record is from RNAcentral.
GACGAACGCUGGCGGCGUGCUUAACACAUGCAAGUCGAACGGAAAGGCCCUGCUUUUGUGGGGUGCUCGAGUGGCGAACGGGUGAGUAACACGUGAGUAACCUGCCCUUGACUUUGGGAUAACUUCAGGAAACUGGGGCUAAUACCGGAUAGGAGCUCCUGCUGCAUGGUGGGGGUUGGAAAGUUUCGGCGGUUGGGGAUGGACUCGCGGCUUAUCAGCUUGUUGGUGGGGUAGUGGCUUACCAAGGCUUUGACGGGUAGCCGGCCUGAGAGGGUGACCGGCCCACUUUGGUCUGGAGUGAGCGCCCAGCCUCGUCGGGGGGGCAGAGGGGGGGAUUUUGAAAAAGGGGGGGAAACCGUGGGCCACCACCCCCGCGGGGGGGAUGCGGGCUUUGGGUUUGAAACCCCUUUCCCCCUGUAACAAGGCUGGGUGGAGGGAAUUGGAUAAAAAAGCCCCGGCUAACUACGCG